GACGAACGCUGGCGGCGUGCCUAAUACAUGCAAGUAGAACGCACAGUUUAUACCGUGGCUUGCUACACCAUAGACUGUGAGUUGCGAACGGGUGAGUAACGCGUAGGUAACCUGCCUGGUAGCGGGGGAUAACUAUUGGAAACGAUAGCUAAUACCGCAUAAUAUUGAUUAUUGCAUGAUAAUUGAUUGAAAGAUGCUAUUGCAUCACUACCAGAUGGGCCUGCGUUGUAUUAGCUAGUAGGUGAGGUAACGGCUCACCUAGGCGACGAUACAUAGCCGACCCGAGAGGGUGGACGGCCACACUGGGAAUGGGACACGGCCCAGGCUCCUUCGGGAAGCAGCAGGAGGGAAUCUUCGGCAAUGGAGGGAAGUCUUGCCGAACAACGCCGGGGGAGUGAAGAAGGUUCUCGGAUCGUAAAGCUCUGUUGUAAGGGAAGAACGGGUGUGAGGGUGGAAAGUUCACACUGUGACGGUAUCUUACCAGAAAGGGACGGCUAACUACGUG
Molecule: ribosomal RNA, 505 nt
Filed under: uncultured bacterium
Lineage: Bacteria
Description: partial 16S ribosomal RNA
Rfam family: Bacterial small subunit ribosomal RNA
Source: RNAcentral